ACCCGAAAGGUCGAAUGGGGAAAUUCAUUCGCGUUUCGAUAGUCGGCGUCGAGCUGUUGUGUGACUGACGAGGUACGCUUCGUUAGCGCCUUCAGUUCGUUCGAACUGACUUCGAACGCGUGCACUUUUCCCCUAGUAGGACGUCGCGAUCCGUUGGGUGUCGGUCUAAGGCUUGCGGUGGAGCUCGCGAAGACGUUUCGGCGUUCUUUGCGAACCUGCAAUGUCCCGAUCGACUCGCUCGACGGUAUAAAGAUGGCGCGGGGCCGCUACACUUUUAGAGUUAGCGUUCGACCUACGGCAAGCACGUACGGUGUUACAACGGCGAUCAGACCUGGUCGGAUCCCGUUCCCGGACGACUGUUGGCACGUAGUGUUCUCGAACAGACCUCGUUGAAACGCCGAUCUGCGACGCUAUAGCUUUGGGUACUUUCAGGACCCGUCUUGAAACACGGAC
RNAcentral lists this ribosomal RNA (453 nucleotides) under Dorynota funesta. RNAcentral's name for it is "partial large subunit ribosomal RNA". Lineage: Eukaryota; Metazoa; Arthropoda; Insecta; Coleoptera; Chrysomelidae. The record is from RNAcentral.